Trichobilharzia regenti is the source of this 78-nucleotide non-coding RNA. The record is from Rfam. NCBI's taxonomy places the organism in Eukaryota, Metazoa, Platyhelminthes, Trematoda, Strigeidida, Schistosomatidae.
AGCCCUCUGUAUCCGUGCGGAGAUUUCGUCAGAGAUCAACCCGUGGGGGAUGAUGGUACUUCCUAGAUAAGUGAAGCG